RNAcentral lists this transfer RNA (69 nucleotides) under Marmota marmota marmota (Alpine marmot). It matches the Rfam family "tRNA". Rfam says of the family: Transfer RNA (tRNA) molecules are approximately 80 nucleotides in length. Their secondary structure includes four short double-helical elements and three loops (D, anti-codon, and T loops). Lineage: Eukaryota; Metazoa; Chordata; Mammalia; Rodentia; Sciuridae. The record is from Rfam by way of RNAcentral. RNAcentral also lists the same sequence under 1 other name.
GGGGUUGUAGCUCAGUGGUAGAGUGCUUGCUUUGCAUGCAUGAGGCACUAUGUUGGAUCCUCAGCACCA